UUCCUGGUGGCUCAGACAGUAAAGUGACUGCCCGCAAUGCAGGAGACCCAGGUUCAAUCCCUGGUUGGGAAG
Molecule: transfer RNA, 72 nt
Filed under: Bos taurus (domestic cattle)
Lineage: Eukaryota; Metazoa; Chordata; Mammalia; Artiodactyla; Bovidae
Also listed under: 5 other names
Rfam family: tRNA
About the family: Transfer RNA (tRNA) molecules are approximately 80 nucleotides in length. Their secondary structure includes four short double-helical elements and three loops (D, anti-codon, and T loops).
Source: Rfam by way of RNAcentral